CUGGUUAAUCUGCCUUUGCAAUUUAGAACUGGUUGUAUUUUUAUAAUAUAUAUUAUUUUGAUUUGAUACUAUAUAUUAUAAAAGUAAUUAGAUAAAAAUCUUUCAGUUUUUAGAAUCUGUUUUUUUUUUUCUUGCUCUUCUUGGCUCUUCCCCUGAAAACUAAACAUUAUUUUGACCUUGUCAAAUGACUCUUUACCCAUAAUGUCCUAGGUUAGUUCUAUUUGAAGUUUUGUAUAUACAUUCCAGUGGUUCAAAAUCCCUGCUUGUGCUUUAAAUACUAUAUCAUGUCUUUUUAGUGCUCACCAGUCAAAUAUAUUGAGUUAUGUACAUAUUGGAACACUUUGGACACACUCUGAUUAAGUACAUAUUUGUUCUAUAUUGUAUAUUCCUAAAAUAUACUUUAAAUAUAUCAGCUAAGGCUAACAGAGUAUUUUUUUCUUUCACAGGAGAAUAUCAGCAUUAAUGUGGGAGGUACGCUACAUUGAGCAUAAUGCCAGGACUUUCAAUGAGCCAGACAGUCCUAUAGUUAAAGCAGCUAAAAUUGUAACUGAUGUCUUACUACGAUUUAUUGGGGAUCAGAGCUGUACUGAUAUACUGGAUACUUAUAAUAAAGUUAAAGCAGAAGAACGAAACAGUACUGAUGCAGAGGAGGAUACAGAAAUGGUUGAUUUAGAUUCAGAUGGUCCUGGUACUUCAUCUGGAAGAAGGGUGAGUAAAUAAAUGAACUGCUGAGGAGAUACGUUUUCAGGUUUCCUAUGUCAGUGAUCCCUAAGACCAACCCCAUAUUCGAAGAAUUGCUAGAAAGAUUCUUUAAGUAAGUAUAUUAGGUAUGCUCAUUGAUAAGAUUUAUUACAUUGAUACAGUAAGGGUACCCAGUUGAGUCAUGGAGAAAAAGACACAGGCAGAGUCUGGAGAAAUUUAUGUACAGGCUUCCUUAUCCUAUUAAUAUCUUCACAUAUCACACUCUUUCUAGCAUGUGUGUGAUUAGAGAUUCAGUUCCCAAAAAUUUUAUUGGGGGCUGAUUAUGUAGAUACCCUCUGACUAGUGCACACUAAGAUUCUAGAUUCUCAGAAGGAAAUUACAUAUUCAGCACAAAUCACAUUGUUUUAUACUGUCUAGGUGCAGCAAAUUGUCUAAAUAAUUUAGGAAGCCAUUCAAAUGCCAAGUUCCCAAAUGCCAGCCAAUGGCCAACCUUGCAAGCAAUCCCUGGCCUGCUAUGUUAACUCUUUUGUGCAGAUUUCCCCUCCAUAAUAAUUAGAGUUAUAUUAUAUAAGGAACAAUAUAUUUUGUAAUACUGAAAGAGAUCAUAACAAAAGACAUCCAAUGGUACAGAACAGAGUUUAUCAUGACCACAAAGGAUUUCCAGGGAAAAAAAAUUAAAGUGUUGUUUUGAGAAAAAAUAUGAUGCCAUUGUCAAGUAUACUUAACUACCAGCAAGUAGUAAGGCACUAUAGCUUGAUCUUGUAGAGGAUAGAAGCAUUGCUCCUCUGUACUUUAUUUGAAGUUCAGAUGUGAGUACUAGAAUUCUUGCCAUUUCCAUGAAUAUGGUGUCUAGGUUUUUUAGCUCAUUAUUUUUGCCAGGGAAAACAAUGUCUAAUUUAAGCUAAGAAACUAAAAUAGCAGCUGCCCUAUUUUAUACAGAUAGAUAUGUUAACAUUAGGGAUUUUUCAGAAAAAUCAAUAGAGUUAAGGAAAGAUCUUUCAGAUAUAAUUCUAUUAAAAUCUAUAGGUCAAAUGCCGAGGCAGAAGACAGUCUUUAAAGUGUAAUCCUGAUGCUUGGAAAAAACAAUGCAAAGACCUGUU
This 1802-nucleotide long non-coding RNA is filed under the name Cebus imitator (Panamanian white-faced capuchin). RNAcentral describes it as "lncRNA (ENSCCAG00000038234.1)". Lineage: Eukaryota; Metazoa; Chordata; Mammalia; Primates; Cebidae. The record is from RNAcentral.